This is a non-coding RNA of Choloepus didactylus (southern two-toed sloth), 550 nucleotides long. The record is from the annotation of a RefSeq genome assembly. Lineage: Eukaryota; Metazoa; Chordata; Mammalia; Pilosa; Megalonychidae.
CUGGAUGUUCUCCUCAGCCAGGGGAUAAGAGAGGCCUGGGGGGAAACAGCCCAUCCUAGAGGCCUGAGAGAGCAGAUCUGGGGGCACCUCCACCAUGGCCUGGACCCCUCUCCUCCUCACCCUCCUGGCUCACUGCACAGCCUCUGUGGCCUCCUUUGAGCUGACCCAGCCACGCUCAGUGUCAGUGGCCCUGGGACAGAUGGCCAGGCUCACCUGCUCUGGAGGAAAAUUUGAGAAAAAAUAUGUUCACUGGUACCAGCAGAAGCCAGAUCAGGCCCCUAAGCUGGUCAUCUAUGAGGAUAGCAAACGGCCCUCUGGGAUCCCUGAACGAUUCUCUGGCUCCAGCUCUGGGAACACAGCCACCCUGACCAUCAGCGGGGUCCAGAAUGAGGAUGAGGCUGACUAUUACUGUCAGUCAUGGGAUAGUGACAGUGAUGCUGCCCACAGUGACACAGACAGAUGGGGAAGUGAGACAAAAACCCAGUCCCCUGUCUGUGUCACUCUCCCUCAAGCCCCAGGAGGACUGAGGACAAGCAGUGUGCAGGCCUAG